AGAACGAACGCUGGCGGCAGGCUUAACACAUGCAAGUCGAGCGCCCCGCAAGGGGAGCGGCAGACGGGUGAGUAACGCGUGGGAACAUACCCUCCGGUUCGGAAUAGCUCAGGGAAACUUGGAUUAAUACCGGAUACGGCCUAGCGGCGAAAGAUUCAUCGCCGGAGGAUUGGCCCGCGUUCGAUUAGCUAGUUGGUGAGGUAACGGCUCACCAAGGCGACGAUCGAUAGCUGGUCUGAGAGGAUGAUCAGCCACAUUGGGACUGAGACACGGCCCAAACUCCUACGGGAGGCAGCAGUGGGGAAUAUUGGACAAUGGGCGCAAGCCUGAUCCAGCCAUGCCGCGUGAGUGAUGACGGCCUUAGGGUUGUAAAGCUCUUUCGCUAGGGACGAUAAUGACGGUACCUAGACAAGAAGCCCGGCUAACUUCGUGCCAGCAGCCGC
This 443-nucleotide ribosomal RNA is filed under the name uncultured bacterium. Its description in RNAcentral is "SSU rRNA". It matches the Rfam family "Bacterial small subunit ribosomal RNA", at positions 26 to 518 of the family's 1533-position model. The record is from RNAcentral.